This 253-nucleotide ribosomal RNA is filed under the name uncultured bacterium. Its description in RNAcentral is "partial 16S ribosomal RNA". It matches the Rfam family "Bacterial small subunit ribosomal RNA", at positions 524 to 776 of the family's 1533-position model. The record is from RNAcentral.
UACGGAAUGUACAAACGUUAUUCGGAAUUACUGGGCUUAAAGAGUCCGUAGGCGGCUUGUUAGGUGAGGUGUGAAAUCCCCCGGCUCAACAGAGGAAUUGCGCUUCAAACCGGCGAGCUUGAGGAAGAUAGAGGUGGGCGGAACUGAUGGUGGAGCGGUGAAAUGCGUUGAUAUCAUCAGGAACACCGGAGGCGAAAGCGGCCCACUGGGUCUUUUCUGACGCUGAGGGAUGAAAGCUAGGGGAGCGAACGGG